This 564-nucleotide ribosomal RNA is filed under the name Triticum aestivum (bread wheat). Its description in RNAcentral is "partial small subunit ribosomal RNA". Lineage: Eukaryota; Viridiplantae; Streptophyta; Magnoliopsida; Poales; Poaceae. The record is from RNAcentral.
AUGGCUUCAUCCGAUUCCACGACGAGGCCACGGUGCGUUGACCAAGAGGACAUGCCGAGCAAGUGGGAGGAGGCAAGGUUGGACAAGACAAAGGAGAAGGAUGUGAAAACCCCUUCAUGUUGGUGUGCAGAUGAGUGCAAGGUGAAGGUCUCCACUGACCGGAAGAAGUCCUGGAUGGAAGGAAGAAGAUAUUUUGUGUGUCCCAACUAUGCACAUGAUCGCGCGCGUCCCACUAACGCCUAUGACAUCCCACCGUCACCUCCUCCACUUUGCAAGUACUUCACAUGGAUAGAUCAUGAAGUGCCAGAAGAUGUCCAAAAAGACCAACUUCAAGAUUGCCUUAGGAGACAGCGAUGGUUUGAAGAAUCCUUACAGAGAGCCGAGGACGAGGAACGUCGUGAGAGGGAGAGGAAGGAGCGGAAGAAGCGUGAGGAGGAGAGGGCGCGCAAAGAGAAGGCAGCUCGUCAAGACGAGAGGGCAAGAAAGCUUGCAAGGGCUCGCGAUGCACAAGAGGAGGAUGAGGCACGCGACAAGAAGGGGAAAUGGCCGCGUGUGACCCAAUAA